AUGACAGGGACGGGGGACCCAAAUUCGGGUACCGGAAACGGUGCCCUUGGGGUGAAGCCAGACGGACCUCGGUCCCGACGGCCGGGUGAUUCUCCCACCCGAACCCGACAGCUGACCUCGCAGGCGUCCAGGAGAGGU
This 138-nucleotide small RNA is filed under the name uncultured Oerskovia sp. RNAcentral's name for it is "ydaO/yuaA leader". It matches the Rfam family "c-di-AMP riboswitch aptamer (ydaO/yuaA leader)", at positions 21 to 130 of the family's 134-position model. Rfam says of the family: This family represents a conserved RNA structure found upstream of the ydaO and yuaA genes in Bacillus subtilis and related genes in other bacteria. The ydaO/yuaA element is thought to act as a genetic "off" switch for the ydaO and yuaA genes in its native state. The record is from RNAcentral. Lineage: Bacteria; Bacillati; Actinomycetota; Actinomycetes; Micrococcales; Cellulomonadaceae.